This 253-nucleotide ribosomal RNA is filed under the name uncultured bacterium. Its description in RNAcentral is "partial 16S ribosomal RNA". It matches the Rfam family "Bacterial small subunit ribosomal RNA", at positions 524 to 776 of the family's 1533-position model. The record is from RNAcentral.
UACGAAGGGUGCAAGCGUUACUCGGAAUUACUGGGCGUAAAGCGUGCGUAGGUGGUUUGUUAAGUCUGUUGUGAAAGCCCCGGGCUCAACCUGGGAAUGGCAAUGGAUACUGGCAGGCUAGAGUGCGGUAGAGGGUAGUGGAAUUCCCGGUGUAGCGGUGAAAUGCGUAGAUAUCGGAAGGAACACCUGUGGCGAAAGCGGCUCACUGGACCAUUACUGACGCUGAGGCACGAAGGCCAGGGGAGCAAACGGG